GACGAACGCUGGCGGCGUGCUUAACACAUGCAAGUCGAACGGAAAGGCCCUGCUUUUGUGGGGUGCUCGAGUGGCGAACGGGUGAGUAACACGUGAGUAACCUGCCCUUGACUUUGGGAUAACUUCAGGAAACUGGGGCUAAUACCGGAUAGGAGCUCCUGCUGCAUGGUGGGGGUUGGAAAGUUUCGGCGGUUGGGGAUGGACUCGCGGCUUAUCAGCUUGUUGGUGGGGUAGUGGCUUACCAAGGCUUUGACGGGUAGCCGGCCUGAGAGGGUGACCGGGCACGUUGGGAGGACGGUAGCGCGCAGGCUGGUAGGGGGGGGCGCAGUGGGGGCGGGUGGGCUAGGGGCGGAAGGCUGAUGAAGCAAUGCCGCGUGGGGGAAGACGGGAUUCAGGUUGAAAACCACGGACGCAUGUGAUAAAGCGUGAGCAGCGGGAGUGGGAAAAGAACCAACGGCUAACUAGGUG
Molecule: ribosomal RNA, 468 nt
Filed under: uncultured bacterium
Lineage: Bacteria
Description: partial 16S ribosomal RNA
Rfam family: Bacterial small subunit ribosomal RNA
Source: RNAcentral